CAGAUGGGCUUGAGCCUCAUGUUGCUACACUCUUUACCGCAUUUUUAUGUAUUGGGUGUGUCAUCAUUGGGAAUCUGGAUCUUAUCACACCAACUGUAACUAUGUUUUACCUUCUGUGUUAUGCUGGUGUGAAUUUGUCUUGCUUCCUUCUGGAUCUUCUAGAUGCUCCCAGUUGGCGUCCACGAUGGAAGUUUCACCAUUGGAGCCUCUCUCUUCUUGGGGCAUCACUUUGUAUUGUCAUUAUGUUCUUGAUUUCUUGGUCAUUCACGGUUGUGUCUCUAGCCCUUGCCAGCCUUAUAUAUUAUUAUGUGAGCAUUAAAGGAAAGGCUGGGGACUGGGGUGAUGGCUUCAAGAGUGCAUAUUUUCAGUUGGCUCUUCGUAGUCUUCGAUCACUAGGAGCCAACCAAGUCCACCCUAAGAAUUGGUAUCCCAUCCCUCUCAUAUUCUGCCGGCCAUGGGGAAAGCUGCCAGAAAAUGUACCUUGCCAUCCCAAACUUGCUGACUUUGCAAAUUGCAUGAAAAAAAAGGGUCGUGGGAUGUCUAUCUUUGUAUCUAUAUUAGAUGGAGAUUACCAUGAACAUGCUGAAGAUGCCAAGGCAGCCUGCAAGCAACUUGGCACCUACAUUGAUUACAAAAAUUGCGAAGGUGUAGCAGAGAUAGUUGUAGCACCGAAUAUGUCUGAAGGCUUUCGUGGAAUAGUCCAGACUAUGGGUCUUGGCAACCUCAAGCCCAAUAUUGUGGUUAUGAGAUAUCCAGAAAUAUGGCGUCGUGAAAACCUAACUGAAAUCCCAGCCACCUUUGUUGGGAUAAUUAAUGACUGCAUUGUUGCAAACAAAGCAGUUGUUAUUGUCAAGGGUCUUGAUGAGUGGCCCAACGUGUAUCAGAGGCAAUAUGGUACCAUUGAUCUGUAUUGGAUUGUAAGAGAUGGUGGUCUAAUGCUUCUCCUUUCCCAGCUUCUUCUUACAAAGGAGAGUUUUGAGAGUUGUAAAAUUCAGGUCUUCUGCAUUGCAGAGGAGGAUUCAGAUGCAGAGGAACUUAAAGCUGAUGUGAAGAAAUUUCUGUAUGAUCUUCGGAUGCAGGCUGAAGUGAUUGUUAUAUCAAUGAAAUCAUGGGAUGCACAAGCGGAGGGUGGAUCUCAACAAGAUGAAUCACUAGAAGCAUUCACUGCUGCACAACGGCGAAUUGCUAGAUACUUAACUGAGAUGAAGUCGAGAGCUGAAGGGGAAGGGAAUGUGCUGAUGGCCGAUGGGAAACCUGUGAUUGUGAAUGAGCAACAGGUUGAGAAGUUCCUGUACACGACCCUGAAACUGAAUUCAACGAUAUUGAGAUACUCUAGAAUGUCUGCAGUUGUACUUGUGAGUCUACCACCACCUCCAGUCAACCACCCAGCCUACUUUUACAUGGAAUACAUGGAUCUAUUGGUAGAAAAUGUGCCAAGGCUC
RNAcentral lists this unclassified non-coding RNA (1442 nucleotides) under Hevea brasiliensis (rubber tree). Lineage: Eukaryota; Viridiplantae; Streptophyta; Magnoliopsida; Malpighiales; Euphorbiaceae. The record is from RNAcentral.